AAUACGGCGUUUAGAUGUUUAUUUAAGACGUAUGCUAUUGAACAUAUAUCGAUGCCUUCACCAGCAUAAAGGACAUCGAUGCCCCAGUUAGACUGAGGAUCAGAUUCACUUCCGGGGCUUGAGACCGGACCGGGUCUGAAAUUUGCCCGGCAUCCGCAUGGUGAUGAGGGAGGAAGCGCAGAGCGGAAGGUAGAAGACCUGCUUCGAUUUCCCUACCUUCCUCGCAGGAAUCUGCAGGCACGGUCAAGUACAAGUUUAAGAAAUCGGCUCCAGGACCUUAGAAAGGAGGUACUCUUUGGAUCCCCACUUUACAGAGGAGGCAAACUGGGGCUCUGCAAGUUUUCUUAUGCUGAAGUUCAAACAGGGUUUGAAUCGCUGCUAGGAAAUGGCAGAACCAGAUUUGAGUGUGAUUCUGACUUCAGAGUCCACCUGCCCUGUGCAGUGUCUUCCUCGCCAUUGGUAGAGGGACCAGGACUCUGACAGCCCUCGCUACUCUGUCCAUAGGGCAGAGAAAUAAAUCUAUAAUGUGAUUCAACAUCGAUUCAUCCAUUGAUUUAGGCAACUGAUAAAUAUUUCUUGAGCAUCUCCGAUGCACUAGGCACUGUGCGAAGCACAGAGCAUACAAAAAUGAGAAAGGUCCCAAUCCCAGCCUAAAAGUCAGAUGUCCAUACGCAGAGCAUCAUAAUUUGGCAGAAGCUGGCUGCCCACAUUGAAUGCCUGCACAGCUUCAUUAAAAUCAGUGCCCAUGGAGUUCUUGUGGUGCCUCAGUGGGUUACAAACCCAAUCAGUAUCCACGAGGAUGUGGGCUCACUCAGUGGGUUAAGGAUCCGGCGAUGCCAUGAGCUGUGCUGUAGGUUGCAGAUGAGGCGCGGAGGCCAAGUUGCUGUGGCUGUGAUGCAGGCCGGCAGCGGCAGCUCCGACUGGACUUCUAGCUUGGGAACUUCCGUAUGCCGCAGGUGCAGCCCUAAAAGGCAAACAAACAAACAAACAAAAAACCCCACAGUGCCCAUGUUGCCUGCCUCGAGUUUUGAGUGAUUUUCACAGGCUAGAUGGGAGCAAGGUUCUCUUGAACCCAUCUCCAACCUGUGAGGUCGGGCCCAGGGCUCCCUAGAGAUGCAGACGCUGUAACUCCAUAUACCCAACUAGAUUCCGUGGUUUACGGUGAUACACCACGACCUCUAUUCACUGUCUCUUUGACCUUCCUAACAGCCCAGGAAAAUAGACACCUUUAGGCCACUUUACAGAUGCGGAAACUGAGGCUCAGGCAGUGAAGGGCAUAAAUGGAGGGUGUAAUGGAGCAAGGACCUGGGCCUGACCCUUGACUCUCUUCCGCCUGCCAUGAACCCAUUACAGAGAAACACAUCAUCUGAGAGCGUGCAGCUUGCCAGGCCCUUUCCGUCCCUGGGGUUGUGUCCAUGUUAGGGUGAGGAACCCAGGGCACAGGGAGAUAAGCCACUCGCCCAAGCUCACCACACCAGGAAGAAGCAAACACACAACUCAACUCAAACCUGAACAUUCUUGCCUCCUGACCCCAGGCCCUCCCAAUGGAGUAGCUGCCUUCGAAAAAGGCAAUUCGGUCCCCGUCAUCAUUUGCCAGGUCCUCUUUGGUCACAAUGUUGCUACUGUGGGGACAGAAGUCUUAUUAAAGGAUCUCUCCUGUCCUUCUUUCCCGCGUUUGCCUCUGAGAUGCUAUGAUUCCUGCAUCCUCAUCAGAUCCGGAGCUAUUGAAGGAGACUUUUCAGGAAAAUAUGAAUAACUAUUUUUAUAUGAAAACAAAACCCAAUUACAUGCAUGAGGGGUCCAGCAGAGGGGAGGAAAGGAAAGGGGAUGAAGAGAGGGCACCAGGAGUCAUGGCUCAGUGAGUUAAGAGCCCACACCAUGUCUGUGAGGAUGCAGGUGCAAUCCCUGGCCUCCCUCAGUGGGCUAAGGAUUUGGUGUUGCCACAAACUGUGGUAUAGGUUGCAGCUGUGGCUCGGGUUCGAUCCCUGGCCCGGGAAUUUCCAUAUGCUGCUGGUGCUGCCAAAACGGAGAAAAAAAAAAUUAGCAAAGGCUGUGACUCCUUUAUAGCAAGUGGCAUGUUCGUAAGUCGCCUCCUAGUUGUCCCUUGACAGUGCUACAAGGGAGUUUAUAUGGGUUUUGUGACCCCAGUGGUAUUGAGGCUGAAGACACUGAUGGGCUUUCCUAAGAGCCAGGCUGUGAACACUGCCUUGAACCCAAGUGCCCUAACUUGAGGCUGGUGCUCUUCCUUCCACAUUUCCCUGAUGAAAAUAUUACCCACCAGAAUGGCGGAGGGCUGGCAAGCCAAGGAACCUCAGACAGGGUAUGCGCCACGUCUUUUUCUCACCUUCCAAAACAGUGACAAGGAUUCUCACUGGGAAGCGCCAGGUCCGAGAGGCCAGCGGGGCUUUAUGGAUUCCAAAUACUGCUCUGGUGAUUAUGAUGUCUUCCCAGAUAUGUCUGGUGGAGAGUCAAUCAUUAAUUCCUUCUUUUCCUCAACAAGUAUGUAUCGAGGACCCACUAUAUGCCAGGCAUUGUUGGAUGAAGCUUCGGUCAACUGGAGGCAGACAAGUGUCGAGGGUGCUGAGGGCAAUGACGAAAGAACAGCCCCGUUGGGACAGUGUCUCUGAGGGGAAGGGCAUCGGAGCCAAGAACCCUCAUGGGGCUUGAACCAGCUCUGCGAGUGCGGAGAGGGAAGGCUUCCAGCAGGAGUGUUUAACACAGAGGGCUGGAGUCGAGAAGGGGAAAGGACGUGGGUCUGGCUGGGGUUUUCAAGAGUAGAGGGUGGGGAUGGUUUUGGAAAGGGGAGAAGGAAGAAAGCCUGGGGGCAGCCUCCGAGGUUUUCUAAAGUCGAAAGGUAAUGUUAAGUCCCCAAGGCGUGGGCCCCAAGUAACACUUUUUUAAAAAUGAAAUAGACAAGUAUAUGAUAUUGUUUUUCUCCAGCUUUAGCAUGCCUCAGAAACACUUGGAAAGGCUUAAUAAAGCAGCCAGAACUUCUGGAGGGUGUUCUGAGAAUGGAGGGUGGAGCCUGAGAAUUUGCAUUGCUAACAAGUUCCCAGGUGCUGUUGCUGCUGCUGAUUCAGGACCACAUCUUGGGAACCAUUGUGUUAGGAAUGAAUCACAUGGAGUUCCGCUGUCGUCACAGCAGAAAUGAAUCCGACUAGGAACUAUGAGGUUGCAGUGGGUUAAGGAUCUGACGUUGCUGUGAGCUGUGGUGUAGGUCGAAGAUGCGGAUCAGAUCUGGCAUUGCUGUGGCUGUGAUUUAGGCUGCAGCUCCGAUUAGACCCCUAGCCUGGGAAUCUCCAUGUGCCACAGGUGUGGCCCUAAAAAGACAAAAGACAAAAAAAAAAAAAAAAAAAUACAUCACAGGAGUUCUGAUGAUGGGUCAGUGGUAACGAACCCAACUAGUAUCGGUGAGGAUGCAGGGUCGAUCCUUGGCUCAGGAGAAUAAGGAUCUGGCAUUGCUGUGGCUGUGGCUGUGUGAAGCAGCUAGAGCUCCAAUUUGACCCUUAGCCUUGGAACUUCUGAGGGUGCAGCCCCCCCCAAAAAAAGAGGCACACAUCACAUACAUUAAGGGCAAGCUUUUGGUGUUUGAAGCUCUUGUUUCAGUAUUAUCCAUGUUCAUUUGCACUAGAUCCUGAUGUAAAAUGUAUUUUUUCAGAGCAGGUCAUGUUCAGAAAAGUUUGAAAGCCCCUGAAUUAAAGAUUAAGGAUCUUUCUCUAGAAGAGAAAGGGUCAUUCUUUCAUGCUGCAAAGGUGCUGCCGGAAAUCUUGUGACGAGUGAACCAGCAAAUAUAUGAAUGCAAAUAAAGAAAAUCUAGCUGAAAUAGGAAAGAAGAUUCUCCUGUUUAUAGGCUGACCUUGGCCUGAGUUCAUCCCAAUGAACCUUCGGAAAUAUUGCGUCGCCCUUGGUAUAGAGCCAGGAUCACCCUACCCCUGGGCUCCCUGGCUCCUGCCUCCUGUGCUCGGCAGCCCUCUGGCCACAUGACCCUGCUCUCCUCUCCUAGAGCCAUCUCCACAGUGCUGCCAUUCUCUGGAAAACCCAACAGCAUUUAGUCCUUAAGAUGCAAACCCACCCGGAGUUCCCGUGGUAUCUCAGUGGGUUAAGACCCCAACGAGUAUCCAUGAGGAUGUGGUUCAAUCAAUCCCUGGCCUCGCUCAGUGGAUUAAGGAUCCAGCAUCGAAACAAGCUGUGAUGUAGGUCUCGGAUGUGGCUCGGAUCUGGCAUUGCCAUGGCUGUGGUGUAGGCCGGCAGCUGCAGCUCUGAUUCCACUGCUGACCCGAGAACUUCCAUAAGCUGCAGGUGUGGUUACAAAAAGGAAAAAAAAAAAAGAUGCAAAACCACUCACCUGUGCUGUCCCAUAGCUUGGAAGUUUUUUCACAUACACACGUUGAAUGGUUUCCUCUGCACUGCAGCCCUGCGUCUCCUGUGAGCUGCACUGGCUCCAGAUCCUCAUGGGAGAUUGAAGGUAAGUCCCAACUUCUCGCUCCAGGGUCAGUUAUGAUAUCAAUUAUAAAACAGUGUUUAAUCCCCACCGAGGAACAGAUUGUCCUGGUGAGGAAGUGAAGGGCUUCUCCCUGAAAGCUCAACAGAAAGGCAGCAGGCGCUGGAAUCGAUAUGUUUCAGCUGGCUCAGCCUGCUAUGAAAAAGUACCUCGAUCAGGUGGCUUCUAAACUACAGAAAUGUAUUUCUCACAGUUCUGAAGGCUGGAAGCUUGAGAUGCAGAGGGCAAGCAUGGUUGGGCGAGGGUCCCCUUCCAGCGUGCCAACCAUGGUCUUCUCAUCGUGUCCUCCACACGGUGGAAAGAGGGUCCCUUUGAUUUGGGCACCGAUCCCAUUCAUAAGGGCUCCAUCUUUAUGACCUAAUUACUCUCCCAAGAUGCCACCUCUAAUACUGUCACAUUGGGAGUUAGGAUUUCAAGGUAUGAAUCUGGAGGGAGGGGACACAUCAAUCCAUGGCAUGUGCGAACUCAGGAGUCUGGAAACUUGCACUGAUUCAUUCAGCAUCUCCCCUGAGCAUCUACCUCUCACCGUGGUAAACAUGAAAACACGGAUCUCAUCCUCCUACUGCUCACAAUGGGUGUAUCUUCCAGAAACUUCUCCAACUUGCUGAAGAACUCAGGCCAACCACCAUCCUUCCUAGGAACUGGGCACUUCCUGUAGGGCACAGUAGGGAGCAUGCGAUGUUAGAGCUAGAAGGUACUGCAGUGGUAACUGAAUCCCAUGUCCUCUUGCUAUAAAGAAGACCUUGGGUCACAGCAAAGGGAGAAGACUUGCCCAGGGGCACAUGGUGUGUUGCUGGGAGAAAUGGCUGGGAGGCUGGUUGAAACCUCAGAGGCUUGCCUCCCACCUGCUUUCAGACACUCCUGCCCAGGGCUCCUCCUAAGCCCAUCCUCCCCUCCUGGUCUCUUAGUGCCCGUUGUGAAAAUGAAUGAGAUUGUCUACUUAGAAAUACACAAAGGGCCUGAAAGGCGUGCAGGACACCAAACAGGUGCUGACUUCUUGGGACAGCUCGGAUUUCAUUGUUCUCAUUUAGAUUGUGCUCUAGGGAGUAUCCUAAGUGGUCAGAGCCCCGGCCAGGGACAGAAGUACCAGGGGGAGUUGGAGUCCCACCUUUCUGCUUCUCAUUGACUUCCCUCCUCCCCAUCUGCAGACCCCUCUCCACACAGCUCAGUGGUACCACAUCUGGGAUGACUUUCCCAGUCCUCCAGUUGGAAAGAGCCAAGCUCUCCCCUCUUCAAAGCAGCCAGCUCUUUGGCACUCCCCUCAUUCUGAACGGAGGAAAGUUUAUUCCAUCACUUACCUGCCACAUCCAUGCAGUGUCAGAAGAACUAGGGUCCGGAGCCUGGUGGAGGUCUAGACACAGCCUAGAAAACUCAAGAAGCCCAUGCCUAGGUAACUGGCAAGGUACACAGUGAGUGUAACAGCUGAGGUCCUUGGGAGCCCUGUUGAGUUCUGUCCGUAUCUGUCUCACUGACCAGUCUGGAGUCUCUUGAGGGCAGGGACUGGACCAUGUUCCUGUAUCCAACUCUGUUAACCACCAUCUCCUGAAAGAUCUAGCAGUAUCCUCAGAGAAUCCUCAGGAGGAAAGGGUGAGGUCACAGAGACAAGUCUCCCUGGAAAACGCUGGGCAGAGUCAAGUCCGUGGAAUCACAAGGAAAAUGCCCUUCUCUUCGCCUGUCACCCCUCAUUCCCUCUUGGGCACAAGAUGAUUAUGACAGAGUCUCUGGGAUUGUCCUCCCAUCUCUCCCACCUUUUACAUGGUCAUCGAGGGAGUCACUCUGCAAGUCCAAGGUGAGUCCUGACCACAGGCGGCAGGCCUGGGGACGGGCACUUGAGCCUCGUGGAGCCCAUUCUAGACCCUCCAAGGAUCCUUGAAAUUAAAACUGCGAAAGAAUAUCCAACAUUGGGGCGGGGGAAGGAUUGUUCUCGGCAACCCCACUCCCUUCCAUAACGGGGUCAGAGAUGGAAGAAGUCGGUCUGCAGGUGGAUAAGAUGGAGCAGGGGCUCCGUGAGAAGCACAGUGAGAGAGGGGGCAUUCUGAUGCCAUUUGAGCCCCUCAUUUCACUGCUUCCCGAGGCCUUGUUGCAUCUUUUUCAAGAUAUUCCAGUAUCUAUUUAGGUCCCCUCUUCUGUAAACUGUUUCAAUGUGAGCUUCUGUUGCUGGCAACCCACAGCAUCCUGACAAACAGUGCUCUGGGAAGCCUGUCCACUCGGAAAAAGUCAUGCUUUGGUGAGAUUUUUUUCUGCCCUGUCCUCAUCCUACCCCAAACCAAGAGUAA
RNAcentral lists this long non-coding RNA (6777 nucleotides) under Sus scrofa (pig). RNAcentral describes it as "lncRNA (ENSSSCG00050027935.1)". The record is from RNAcentral. Lineage: Eukaryota; Metazoa; Chordata; Mammalia; Artiodactyla; Suidae.